This 431-nucleotide ribosomal RNA is filed under the name uncultured bacterium. RNAcentral's name for it is "partial 16S ribosomal RNA". It matches the Rfam family "Bacterial small subunit ribosomal RNA", at positions 29 to 505 of the family's 1533-position model. The record is from RNAcentral.
AACGAACGCUGGCGGCAUGCCUAACACAUGCAAGUCGAACGAGACCUUCGGGUCUAGUGGCGCACGGGUGCGUAACGCGUGGGAACCUGCCCUUAGGUUCGGAAUAACUCCCCGAAAGGGGUGCUAAUACCGGAUAAUGUCUUCGGACCAAAGAUUUAUCGCCUUUGGAUGGGCCCGCGUUGGAUUAGCUAGUUGGUAGGGUAAAAGCCUACCAAGGCGACGAUCCAUAGCUGGUCUGAGAGGAUGAUCAGCCACACUGGGACUGAGACACGGCCCAGACUCCUACGGGAGGCAGCAGUGGGGAAUAUUGGACAAUGGGCGAAAGCCUGAUCCAGCAAUGCCGCGUGAGUGAUGAAGGCCUGAGGGUUGUAAAGCUCUUUUACCCGGGAUGAUAAUGACAGUACCGGGAGAAUAAGCGCCGGCUAACUCCG